CUCCCGGUUGAUCCUGCCGGACCCGACUGCUAUCAGAGUGGGACUAAGCCAUGCGAGUCAACAUAGCAAUAUGUGGCAUACGGCUCAGUAACACGUAGUCAACAUGCCCAGGGGACGUGGAUAACCUCGGGAAACUGAGGAUAAACCGCGAUAGGUCAUCACUUCUGGAAUGGGUAAUGACUUAAAUCUAUAUGGCCCCUGGAUUGGACUGCGGCCGAUCAGGCUGUUGGUGAGGUAAUGGCCCACCAAACCUGUAACCGGUACGGGCUCUGAGAGGAGGAGCCCGGAGAUGGGCACUGAGACAAGGGCCCAGGCCCUAUGGGGCGCAGCAGGCGCGAAACCUCUGCAAUAGGCGAAAGCUUGACAGGGUUACUCUGAGUGAUUUCCGUUAAGGAGAUCUUUUGGCACCUCUAAAAAUGGUGCAGAAUAAGGGGUGGGCAAGUCUGGUGUCAGCCGCCGCGGUAAUACCAGCACCCCGAGUGGUCGGGACGUUUAUUGGGCCUAAAGCAUCCGUAGCCGGUUCUACAAGUCUUCCGUUAAAUCCACCUGCUUAACAGAUGGGCUGCGGAAGAUACUAUAGAGCUAGGAGGCGGGAGAGGCAAGCGGUACUCGAUGGGUAGGGGUAAAAUCCGUUGAUCCAUUGAAGACCACCAGUGGCGAAGGCGGCUUGCCAGAACGCGCUCGACGGUGAGGGAUGGAAGCUGGGGGAGCAAACCGGAUUAGAUACCCGGGUAGUCCCAGCUGUAAACGAUGCAGACUCGGUGAUGAGUUGGCUUAUUGCUAACUCAGUGCCGCAGGGAAGCCGUUAAGUUUGCCGCCUGGGGAGUACGGUCGCAAGACUGAAACUUAAAGGAAUUUGGCGGGGGAGCA
RNAcentral lists this ribosomal RNA (870 nucleotides) under uncultured archaeon. RNAcentral's name for it is "bacterial SSU rRNA". It matches the Rfam family "Archaeal small subunit ribosomal RNA", at positions 1 to 878 of the family's 1478-position model. The record is from RNAcentral.